Molecule: ribosomal RNA, 253 nt
Filed under: uncultured bacterium
Lineage: Bacteria
Description: partial 16S ribosomal RNA
Rfam family: Bacterial small subunit ribosomal RNA
Source: RNAcentral
UACGGAGGGUGCAAGCGUUAUCCGGAUUCACUGGGUUUAAAGGGUGCGUAGGACGGCAGGUAAGUCAGUGGUGAAAUCUCCGAGCUUAACUUGGAAACUGCCGUUGAUACUAUCUGUCUUGAAUAUUGUGGAGGUGAGCGGAAUAUGUCAUGUAGCGGUGAAAUGCUUAGAUGUGACAUAGAACACCAAUUGCGAAGGCAGCUCGCUACACAUAUAUUGACUCUGAGGCACGAAAGCGUGGGGAUCAAACAGG